Molecule: long non-coding RNA, 148 nt
Organism: Aethalodelphis obliquidens (Pacific white-sided dolphin)
Lineage: Eukaryota; Metazoa; Chordata; Mammalia; Artiodactyla; Delphinidae
Exons: 3
Source: RefSeq, a predicted model, not a curated record
CUUACAUAGCAUGUCAAGAGAGUAGAGAAGAGCAUAGAUACCAGAAGGACGAGAAUACUCUGUGCCUUGUAUGUGCAUUCUCUUCAUGACAGAUGAAGACACAGGUACCAUGAUCUUAAUUUUACAUCUUGGGAGCCUUGGGUUGACA